RNAcentral lists this transfer RNA (73 nucleotides) under Dipodomys ordii (Ord's kangaroo rat). It matches the Rfam family "tRNA". From Rfam's summary of the family: Transfer RNA (tRNA) molecules are approximately 80 nucleotides in length. Lineage: Eukaryota; Metazoa; Chordata; Mammalia; Rodentia; Heteromyidae. The record is from Rfam by way of RNAcentral.
GGGGGUGUGAUUCAGUGGUAAGAGAAUCUGCUUAGGAAGCAUAUGAUCUUGAGUUCAAACCCUAGUACCACCA